Molecule: ribosomal RNA, 356 nt
Filed under: Gymnocheta viridis
Lineage: Eukaryota; Metazoa; Arthropoda; Insecta; Diptera; Tachinidae
Description: partial 12S ribosomal RNA
Source: RNAcentral
UUGAAAUAUAUUAAUUUAAAACUUAGGUAGUAUUAGUUAUGUUCUUUAAACUUAAAAAAUUUGGCGGUAUUUUAGUCUAUUCAGAGGAACUUGUUUUUUAAUCGAUAAUUCACGAUGAACCUUACUUAAUUUUGUUGUCUGUUUAUAUACCGUCGUUAUUAGAAUAUUUUAUAAGAAAGUUAAUUUUCUUAAAUUUUUAUAAAAAUUUAUAUCAGAUCAAGGUGUAGCUUAUAUUUAAGUUUUAAUGAGUUACAAUAAAAAUAUUUAAACGAAUAUAAAUUUGAAAUGUUUAUUAAAGGUGGAUUUGAUAGUAAAAUUAUAAAGAUUAAUAAUUUGAUUUUAGCUCUAAAAUAUGC